UAUCCAUCAACAGUUUCAUUCUCAUCAACUAAAUCACUUCAAGAUAUUCCUUGAACUAUUAAGUGUAAUUGACAGGGACUGGCAGUUAUGAUGGCAGACUGUGGUAGUUCCCAUUCUACGCAACCCAGAGAGCCCUUGGUAGAGAAACCAGCAGAAGAGGGUCCUGGCCAAGGGAGAACAGACUCACCCUGAAUAUGAUCAGACUCAUCCCAAUCGGACUCAUCCGUAGCUGAGCUCCAGCGACCCCGAACAGCAGAAGAAAAACAUUCCAAGUGGAAGCUUGGUUUCAUACACGUCAUUUUGGAGCACAGAGAAAGACAUCUGUCUUAGAGGUAAGUCAAUGACAUCUGGUAUUUCUUAUUAGGACAGUCUACAAAUAGCAUAAAUCUUUAACUGAUAGUGUAAGUCUAGUCAAUGGGGCCACUGACACUGCAGGUAAGUUAGGGAUCCUGCCUACAAUUCUGUAUUUUUCUUUCCCACCUGCCCUUCUGGAGGGUCUGGAG
RNAcentral lists this long non-coding RNA (503 nucleotides) under Calidris pugnax (ruff). Its description in RNAcentral is "lncRNA (ENSCPUG00000012604.1)". Lineage: Eukaryota; Metazoa; Chordata; Aves; Charadriiformes; Scolopacidae. The record is from RNAcentral.